RNAcentral lists this ribosomal RNA (256 nucleotides) under Aphalloides coelomicola. RNAcentral describes it as "partial 28S ribosomal RNA". Lineage: Eukaryota; Metazoa; Platyhelminthes; Trematoda; Opisthorchiida; Cryptogonimidae. The record is from RNAcentral.
CCAGUGCACUUUCACAGAGUGGUCACCACGACCGGCAUUGCUGUCUGGCUGUUGUGGUUAAACCGGCCUUUCUUUGUCCUUGUGGCUUUGGAUUGUCGGGAUGGCAGGUAGCUCGCUAGCUUGGCUUGUGGCUCGCUGCAGGUUUUGGCUCUCGGGUGUAAUCAGCUGACCGCAUCGGUUCUGUGCAGUAUGUCGGAGAUGGCGGCUUGUGGUACAUGCGUGCGUGCUAGUUGGUUGGCGUGUCCGGGUUUGGUUG